Hydra vulgaris (swiftwater hydra) is the source of this 997-nucleotide long non-coding RNA. RefSeq lists it as uncharacterized. Lineage: Eukaryota; Metazoa; Cnidaria; Hydrozoa; Anthoathecata; Hydridae. The record is from RefSeq and is a predicted model, not a curated record.
AUAAAAAACCGGUAAUCAACCCCCGCAUUAAUUUUUAAAUUAUUGUUUUGAAUUUUAUUGUAAAAUUCAAAACAUGUAAAAUUAAAAAAAUAGUCUAGCAAUAAGUUUUGUAUUACUAUGGCAUCUGUAUACUGUACAUCGAAGUUAGAGUGAUUUUCAGCAAUAAGAAAAUUGACAAUGAAUGCAAACAUUGGAAGAAACUUUGAGUUUUGGAAACAGCUGUUUAUGAGAAAAGCGUAUGCUGAUGUAACUUUGAAGUUGUGAGAGGGGGCAAGGAAUUUAGACGUUAAAGUACUUACACACACACAAACUAAUUUGGCUUUAGUCAAUAUACUACAAGAAUUAAUAAUAAAAAUAACUUUCAGAUGGUUACCAAUACUUUCUUCCUGCCAUCUUCAAAAUGUCUGAAAAGUUAAUUUACUGUGGAUGAGUGAAAUAAAAACGUUGUUUAAAAAUAAUUUUUACAACUUUAAGUGUUACUUUAUAAAGCAUAAAAUUGGCAGUAAUUUUUGUUUGACAGUUGCUGUUUUCACAAAUUUUUUAAACUCAAUCACUUUUGAUUCAAUUCAAUUUAUUAAAAAGUAAAAAAUAGUUUUAGCCUUCAACGGUUGAAAUUAUUUUUUAAACUUCAAUUCGUUGAAGAAACUGUCAUUGCUCAAGCAUAAAUUGAGAUCACGAUCGACCUGAUAAAAGAUGAUAUUAUUAAUAUAUGUGAUAAUUAAUAAAAGAUAAUUAGUUUUUAAAUGAUCAGAUGAAUGCUGGCCUUUAUUAUAUGGCUGGUUGUGUAUUAUAUUUUGUGCAUAUUUAAUGUAACAAUAUCAGUCUAUUUGUUCCAAAACUAAAAAUUAUGUUUCGCAUAGUAAAUAAGGUUUUCUUACUUUUUUGCAGUUCAAUCGUUUUUGUUAAAUAUUAUUUUGUAAAAUUUAUUGCCUCGCUAAUAUAAUAUGAAUGUGCAGCCAAUAUUUUUUUAAUUCGCAUUUUAUAUUUUUUAUAAAUA